GGAUUCCCCUAGUAACUGCGAGUGAAGCGGGAAAAGCUCAAAUUUAAAAUCUGGCGGUCCCUGUGGCCGUCCGAGUUGUAAUUUAGAGAAGUGUUAUCCGCGCUGGACCGUGUACAAGUCUCCUGGAAUGGAGCGUCAUAGAGGGUGAGAAUCCCGUCUUUGACACGGACUGCCAGGGCUUUGUGAUGCGCUCUCAAAGAGUCGAGUUGUUUGGGAAUGCAGCUCAAAAUGGGUGGUAAAUUCCAUCUAAAGCUAAAUAUUGGGGAGAGACCGAUAGCGAACAAGUACCGUGAGGGAAAGAUGAAAAGAACUUUGGAAAGAGAGUUAAACAGUACGUGAAAUUGCUGAAAGGGAAACGCUUGAAGUCAGUCGCGUCGUUCAGGACUCAGCCUUGCUUUUGCUUGGUGUACUUCUUGUUCGACGGGUCAGCAUCAAUUUUGGUCGGUGGAUAAAGGCUUAGAGAAUGUGGCAUCUUCGGGUGUGUUAUAGCUCUGGGUCGCAUACAUCGGCUGGGAUUGAGGAACUCAGCACGCCGCAAGGCCGGGGACUUGUCCCACGUACGUGCUUAGGAUGCUGGCAUAAUGGCUUUAAUCGACCC
This 598-nucleotide small RNA is filed under the name Mycena luteopallens. RNAcentral's name for it is "eukaryotic LSU rRNA". It matches the Rfam family "Eukaryotic large subunit ribosomal RNA", at positions 72 to 650 of the family's 3401-position model. The record is from RNAcentral. Lineage: Eukaryota; Fungi; Basidiomycota; Agaricomycetes; Agaricales; Mycenaceae.